AGUGGAAUAGCUGGGUCAAAUGAUGGUUUCAUUCCAAGUUUUCUGAGCAAUCUCCAUACUGCUUUACAUUAUGGUUGCACCAAUUUCCAUUCUCACCAGCAAU
This 103-nucleotide microRNA precursor is filed under the name Marmota monax (woodchuck). The record is from RNAcentral. Lineage: Eukaryota; Metazoa; Chordata; Mammalia; Rodentia; Sciuridae.